GGAGAUUGUCCUUCUUUGCCACCGACUGGAGACAUGUCCAUCAUGGUUACUCUCUCUCUCUCUCUCUCUCUCUCUCUCUCUCUCACUUUGUUAUUGUUAAUACAAAAACACGUUCUAAAUAAUAAUCAAAGGAUUAUUAAUUAAGUUACAUCAAUAAUCAAGAGAUAGAGAAUUAAUUAAAAAACUGUAAUGGAAGUGGUUAAGG
This 205-nucleotide long non-coding RNA is filed under the name Trifolium pratense (red clover). Its description in RNAcentral is "long non-coding RNA (TPRA_LNC013135)". Lineage: Eukaryota; Viridiplantae; Streptophyta; Magnoliopsida; Fabales; Fabaceae. The record is from RNAcentral.